CCUCCACAGCCCUCUGUAGUCGAACUUCCGCCCUUCCGCUCUGCCCUCAGGCUGCGGGACCGCUCGGGCCGCUGAGGCCCCGCUGCACCCCCGGCCCGCGCCCGGGGAGACAGCGAGGCAGCACCAGAGGGCACCAGGAACCGCGCUGGGAGCAGGGCCGCUGACAGGCAGCGAGCGCGGAGGGCUCUGUGGUUCCGCGUCCGGCCGCUGAGGUGAUACUGUGAGCACAUGAAUAGUGUGCAGGGAGUCUUAGCUGCCUCUGUGAUUUCCAUCCAGAAUUCCUGCUUCAUCUAUCCUGCCUGUCAAAACUGCUUUUCUAGGCUGAUACUGGAUUCCAGGAGGUUCAACUGUCUAAAGUGUGGCUGCACAGGUGAAGCUAAAGAUGCAAGCUACAGAUAUAGAUUGUCCCUAAAGAUUGCUGACAUUGCUGAUUUGUUUGACAUCACUGUUUUUGGAAGUUGCUUAGAUCCAUUCUUUGGGGUCACCGCAGAAAAUCUGCAGAGGUAUCUUCAAGACUUUAACCAGCUGUCAGGAGAAACAAACACAGAGUCAUCUACAAGAGCACUAGUUCAAGCAGUGGAAACCUGUUUCAUUGGAAAAAGGUUUCUAUUUGGAGUGAAGGGUUGUGCAAGGGAAGAUGGAGGGCAUUCUGCUGCCAGCAGCAUCUUGCAGAAGUGUUCCAGAAUCAAUAGAAGUACGAAAAACCUCAUAGCGUGCCAGAUUUUCCCGCCAAAUGCUGCUGUUACUGGCUUUACUGUUAUCAGCUACUUAGAUCGUCUCCUGCAGUCGGCAAAAUUCAGGAGCUGUAAUAACAGCUCAUAUUUACCUGAUGUGUCAUCAACUCCCAUAGAUGAACCUCUCAGUGAGCUCAGCAGCUUGUCUAGCCUGAGCAGGAGCUCCUGUUUUGUUCAGUCUAGUGGCAGGGAAAGUUUUUUAGGGUGCUGGCAGCAAUCCUUGAGUCUGACUUCAUCUGUUGCUUGGGUAACAGCGGAAGACUUUCCCACUCUGGAAGUGGGAAAGCUGGUUAGUGAACAGCAUGAACAAGAGGAGAGGCCUGUCUCUGCAGAAUUGGGCAGUGUAAGCCUCAACAAUCAAACUCUUUGGGACUCACAGUUCCUGAUCUCUUCUGUGAAGGAAGGGGAUAAAGAGAAGGAUAAUGAAUCAAGUUCACAGCUUAGUCGGACUGACGGUAUCUCUGCAACUGAUAAAUUGGAGAGAGUUUCCUCUUCAAACACCGAGUGUUCACAUGGAAACAGUUCCAAGUUGUUACAGCAUCCCUUGGAAUCUGAGGUAAAAAACUAUUACCCAAAAACUAAUAGUAGAAAUUAUUGUUACUCAGAAAAAUCCCACAACUCCCUUGUUUGCAAGAAAGAUGCCUCAGCUCCUAAUCACAUAAAUGUAGCUAGAGUGUCUCAGAUGGACUCUAUGCUUUGGGAAGAGCUCCCAUUCUCAGAAAGCCUAAAUGAAUUGUUAGCCAGAAUAGAGGAUGGCAGGAGUGUUGUAGCAUCACCCAGCCUUGAUGCAGGCAAACACGUCCAUCUUGAAAGUACCAAGUUGGGUGUAAAUCUUAACAAAUCGUAUUCCAGGCAAGCUGUAGGUGAUUUGCCUACAGCCAGUGUCUCAGGAAGGCUUUUGCCACCAGCAGGGAGCAAUAGCUGGGAGACUACAGUGUUUGCUUGCCUUCAGUCAAAUGCAGACCCUCUGAGUGAUGUCUCACAAUAUGAGUCUUCCUCUAGUGAUCUAUCUUCAACCCUCAAGGAAGGUGGAGCAUCCUCGCCAGUUACACCAGAGCCUUCUGUUUCUCAGAGCAGAUGCAUGCAGUCCAAAGAAGCAAAUAGUGACCCUGCAAAUUCAUCUUGGUCUUUUAUUGGGCUGCGUGGAGAAACCUCCUGCUUAAAAAAGAGUAAGACAGCCACCUGUGUGCAUUCUGCAUGUGAAAGCUGUUUAGCUGCUUGUGAAAAUAAAGAAAACUAUUCUACACCAAGCCAAAAAACGGCUUUUACACUCACAGGGCCCCAGGUUGCUGAUCCACCAACUGCAAGCAAUGCAAGAAGGAUAUAUGAAAGAGAAUUAAAACCAUUGACAGAACUGUCAGAUAAUACCUUCAGAAGCAUUAGUAGGAAAGAGCUGCAAUGUAGCAACAUCUUCCCUGAAGGCAGCUACAACGCUUCUGCUGAUCUCUUUGAUGCAAGUGUAAGAGAGGUAGCAAAACCUGUAGAAUUCUUAAAUAAAUCAUGUAAUUCUUUAAUACAGGAAGAUACACUGACAGAGACGGUCACAGCUGAAUCAGUGCUUUCUCCUGGAGGUGCUCCUUGCAGCAGUUCAAAACUGAGCUCAUCCUUACACAGGUCCCCUCAUGCUUUUAGCAAGCACAGCACACCUGUAACUUACUCCUUUUGCGAUUCAGAGUGCAGUUCGGUUUGUGCUCAGGACUUUGUUCCUUAUUCACAGUCAACUCCUAUGACAAAACCACUGCAGAAACAAUGGUCUGCUGGGGAAAGAAGCUCUUUUAUCACCACCUUCACCCCUAAAAAUCCCACUAAAAACCAUUCCAAAUGCAAGCGAUCCAGGUCUUCCUUUCAGAACACUCUGCUGCAGCAGCUUACCGGCAAGUUGGUGAAACGUGGGAGACCAAGGAACAGGAAAGACAAAGAAAGUGGUAGCUCUGCUUCCCAGCAGUUUCUUAACAGCCAACUGCCUGCCAGCUUGGAGGAGUGGAUCACUCCAUCUUCAAACAAAGGGCUGAAACCAACUGCAUCUUCAAAUUUAAAAACUGUUAGCUGGGCUGCUGACUUACAAUCUGCCUGUGGGCACACUGGCAGGAACCCUAUUUCUGAAAGCAGAAAGAACAGUGAAAGUGAUGACAAUCUCAUCCAAAAUAAGAAAAUAAGCCUUGGGGAUAAACCCAGGAUUCUAACAUCUCCUUUAUCUGCAAGUGUCACCAAGACCUUAUUUUUAAAUGAAACUGAAAAGGAUCCUGAAGUCCUGAAAACGUGUUCCCCUUCAGAAGGCAGGACUCACCUCUCAGGUCUUCAGUAUCCUCAACACAAAACAGCUGCUUUUAGGAUCGUUGAACAGAGAAAUCUUGGAUCUGCUGCUUGUAAGUGUGUAAGUCAGGUCCUGCAGAAGGAUGUGGGAAUCUGGUGGCACAGGAUCUAAGCAGCCUGAAAAUGCUGACAUUUUGUAGUGAGUGAGUGCUUUAAGGUCCUAGUGUGACCUGGGUAGGUGGAGGGGAUGCACCACACUUAUAGAACCAGAAACAGACAUAAAAGUACUUGCUGUGACUUUUUCUUCUGAGGUAUAAAAUGAAUAUGAACCAUUUACACUGUGACUGGUGACAGGGAGGGGUUACUUGGUUCCUUCUCAGCUGCAAGGUGGAUGCUUUUAUCUUCCUAGGUUUGAGGCCUCAUACAAUUUCUACAGCACCUGCUUAAGCUUCCCUCUUUGUUCAGAAGAGUUUUUCAGGAAUAAGGGCAUGUACUUUAACUACCUCAUUCCUUAUGCGUGAUUUUUAGUGUGGAGAACACAGAACCUACAGGUAAACUUUCUCAGUUUCUCAGUCUCUAGCCUAAGUUCUGCACUUUCUAAUCAAAUAUUUUUCCCUUUCAGGGAUGGCAGGGAGAACGGAAUCAAACAAGCUUCUCCUGUGGAUGAGCAGGGUAUAAAUAAGGUACAGCCUCUCCUGCCAAGGGUGCAGAUGUGCUGAGGCUGCAGGCAUUCCUGUAGGCCGACCCAAGAAAAUCUUACCAUGGUUAUGCAGCAGGGGUGCACAGGUAAAUUCCUUCUAUAAAGAAGCUUUUCCAAGUCAGCAUUGGUUGGUUUGGUUAUUAUUUUUUUUUCCCCUCCUUAUUUACUGUUGAAAUCUAGGCACAAAAAGAUUUGCCUGAAAGGACAUGGAGCACAGCUCUGGAGAUCACUGAGAGACCUAAUCUCGUCUUGCUCUCUCCCCAGCAAGUUACUCAAGCACACCACAAAAGUUCUGGUUGUUCCUGCAACAGCAGAUGGCAGUGGAAAGAGGCACAAGAUUUCUUCUGACAGGUCCAACCCUGCAGUCCCUGAACCCUAGACAUAAACAGAAGAAAAUGGAACAUCUUGUUAUAGCAAAGAGAGAGACAGAGCAAAAUUAGACAUCAGAAUUUUUAACAAUGUAUAAUUGAUAAACUGAUGAUGAUUUUAAGCUGAGAGAGGGGAAAUUUAGGUUAGAUACGCAGGAAGAAUUCUUUACCACAAGAGUGGUGAGACACUGGCACAGGUUGCCCAGAGAAGCUGUGGAUGCCUUAUCCCCAGAAGUGAGGCCAGGUUUGAUGCGGCUCUGAGCAACCUGGUCUGAUGGAAGGUGGCCCUGCCCAUGGCAGGAGGAUUGGAACAAGAUCUUGGAAGUCCCUUCCAACCCAAAACCAUUCUGUGGUUCUGUGACCAUGGUAACCUGUGCAUGGAGUCACUUUCAAGUGUGGUGCCAGUGACAGCACUGUUGCAGAACAUGGCAGGGCUCUGAUGUGAAGGACACAGAGCUCCCUAUGCAAGGCCUCCUGGCACAGCCAGAGGGACAGGCGGUAAGAGCAGAAGUUGUAAGGGCUUUGCAAGCUGCUGCUGAGUUGUCCAGCUGAGCUUUACCCAGCAAAUCAGUGCACCAAAACCACACCAGGGCUACUUCUAUCAAGGUAGGGCAGGGCUCCAGGAUGAGGCCAAGUGAAAAGGUCUGGACUUGUGCCUGCAUUUACCAAGUGCUGUGCCUAUUGAAAAGAUUUUAUGUAUUGAAAAUAAAAAUCCUACUUGAUGAACUCUUUGGGCAAGUGGAAAAGGAAUAAGAAAUGUUACCUGCCUGGAAAUUAUAAAUCUGUAUAUAUAGCUUAUGUAGAAGAAAUGAAGUGAAAGACAGCAUUACUCAUACUCAAAUCAUUGAGCAGUUAUCUCAUAUAGAUAUCUCAUAUCUCAUAUAUCUUAUAGGGUACUGCAGUUAUCAUUGGCUCUUUAAACACUCCCUUGUGUUGAACUGGACAGAUACCCACUCUGUCACCAGGAAUUAGAACUGAUCUGAGUGAGACACCAGAGACUUGAUGAAGCUAGCUAUGAAACAGUGCCAGAGCUUCUACAUCAUGUACCUGACAGCAUCUUGACAUGAACUGUUUGGUCCAGCAUGAGUGAUUUUUUUUCAGCAGACAAUUCAUUCACAUCCUACGUUCAAAGGGACCUGGCUCCCAUGGGCAGCAGCUCUACAUGUGCUCUUCUUGUGAGGUCUCAGUGGUGCAAGAGCCUCAAUAUGCUCAGCCCAAGCAGAAAAUCUUUAGUAGCCAUUUGUUUGCUGGUCUAAUGUUAAAUCACGUCAAUUGAAUGUGUUGUAUUUAAGGCAACUUUGCUUUGCAGUCCAAACCAAAAACCAAACAAAUGAAAGACCUUAAAGACCAAGUGGAAAGGAUUAAACAUUUAUUUACAUACAGAUACACAUGUAAGCAAUUUCUAAGUAUAAAAAGAACAUUACAAAUAAACGUGAAGCAUCAUACAUUCAUCAUCCUGGUCAUCCAAAACACAUUCCUUUCUCAAGCCCACCGUACCACACUUGACCACAAGAACUUAAAGACACAAGCCAAAUGCUUCUGACAGUGAAUGGUUCACAGUUUGGUGAUUUGCUAACACCUAUACCCUCCCCAAAGACAGCAUUACCCCACCAACGAGAUCAAUUGUCUGACCAGAUGUAGUGCAUUUUUUCCACUGAAAUGGUUGUGCUUGAUCAACAAAACCCACAUCCUCUCCUCAUCCUUCUGGCCAAAUGUUUAGGAAUCAGGGUUCUUGCUAAAAUUCUGUACAUUGUGCUACAUUCACAAUUGUUGGGGAAAAGACAGCAGACCUUUGUGGGAAAGACUCCAACACAGAAAAUUCCUUUAAUGCUUUGACUUCCCUGGCAUGGAAAUCACAAACAAAAUGCUGCUGUUAGUGCUUAAGCAGAUUUUUAAACUACAAUUCAAACUACAGUUGAUGGCAUAAAAUAUACUUUGUUCAUGAUGUAAAAGAAAUUACGUGCUUCAGUGUUGAUUUUAUAGUAAUCAAAGCUGAGGGUAAUUCAGGUUUUCUCCUGAGGAAAUGAAGAUGCCUUUGUAGCAUCUCUAAAAAUUAUCAUCGCUUUCAGGAAAGAGGAAAUGUUUUAGAUUCAAAAGUCUAAGGUAAUGCAGAGCACGACAAACUUGUCAGUUAGAUAACAUUACAAAGGGAAACAAGCCAGUAAACAUAAAAUUAAAAUGCCUACUCAAAGUAUUAAUGUAUUCAAAUGAGAGCUGGGUGAGUCUUUCUGUACAGAUCAAAAGCAGUUGGAAAAAAAUCUCAUGAUCUGCAAAUUCACAGAACAGCCAAAUAUGUGCAACAGAACAGAGUGAAGUGGAAAUAAAAGAGCAGAAAGAGCCUUGUCCCAUAUUGACAGCUGAGUGACUGCAGCUGCUCCAAUCUCAGGAUUUUGGUGGGUUUUUUCCCUUUUGUAAACAGCUGUGGAGAAUAAAAUGGAUGUGACA
RNA transcript from Parus major (Great Tit), 6500 nucleotides. It is a transcript of the gene named DNA damage induced apoptosis suppressor, with no coding region annotated. The record is from RefSeq and is a predicted model, not a curated record. The transcript has 8 exons. NCBI's taxonomy places the organism in Eukaryota, Metazoa, Chordata, Aves, Passeriformes, Paridae.